This 950-nucleotide ribosomal RNA is filed under the name Staphylococcus pseudintermedius. RNAcentral's name for it is "bacterial SSU rRNA". It matches the Rfam family "Bacterial small subunit ribosomal RNA", at positions 179 to 1114 of the family's 1533-position model. The record is from RNAcentral. Lineage: Bacteria; Bacillati; Bacillota; Bacilli; Caryophanales; Staphylococcaceae.
UGUUGAACCGCAUGGUUCUACAGUGAAAGACGGUCUUGCUGUCACUUAUAGAUGGACCCGCGCCGUAUUAGCUAGUUGGUGGGGUAACGGCCUACCAAGGCGACGAUACGUAGCCGACCUGAGAGGGUGAUCGGCCACACUGGAACUGAGACACGGUCCAGACUCCUACGGGAGGCAGCAGUAGGGAAUCUUCCGCAAUGGGCGAAAGCCUGACGGAGCAACGCCGCGUGAGUGAUGAAGGUCUUCGGAUCGUAAAGCUCUGUUGUUAGGGAAGAACAAAUGUGUAAGUAACUGUGCACAUCUUGACGGUACCUAACCAGAAAGCCACGGCUAACUACGUGCCAGCAGCCGCGGUAAUACGUAGGUGGCAAGCGUUAUCCGGAAUUAUUGGGCGUAAAGCGCGCGUAGGCGGUUUUUUAAGUCUGAUGUGAAAGCCCACGGCUCAACCGUGGAGGGUCAUUGGAAACUGGAAAACUUGAGUGCAGAAGAGGAGAGUGGAAUUCCAUGUGUAGCGGUGAAAUGCGCAGAGAUAUGGAGGAACACCAGUGGCGAAGGCGGCUUUCUGGUCUGCAACUGACGCUGAUGUGCGAAAGCGUGGGGAUCAAACAGGAUUAGAUACCCUGGUAGUCCACGCCGUAAACGAUGAGUGCUAAGUGUUAGGGGGUUUCCGCCCCUUAGUGCUGCAGCUAACGCAUUAAGCACUCCGCCUGGGGAGUACGGUCGCAAGACUGAAACUCAAAGGAAUUGACGGGGACGCGCACAAGCGGUGGAGCAUGUGGUUUAAUUCGAAGCAACGCGGAGAACCUUACCAAAUCUUGACAUCCUUUGACCGCUCUAGAGAUAGAGUUUUCCUCUUCGGAGGACAAAGUGACAGGUGGUGCAUGGUUGUCGUCACCUCCUGUCGUGAGAUGUUGGGUUAAGUCCCGCACGACCGCAACCCUUGAACUAAU